This 440-nucleotide ribosomal RNA is filed under the name uncultured bacterium. Its description in RNAcentral is "partial 16S ribosomal RNA". It matches the Rfam family "Bacterial small subunit ribosomal RNA", at positions 338 to 795 of the family's 1533-position model. The record is from RNAcentral.
CCUACGGGGGGCAGCAGUGGGGGAUAUUGCACAAUGGGGGGAACCCUGAUGCAGCGACGCCGCGUGAGCGAUGAAGUAUUUCGGUAUGUAAAGCUCUAUCAGCAGGGAAGAAAAUGACGGUACCUGACUAAGAAGCCCCGGCUAACUACGUGCCAGCAGCCGCGGUAAUACGUAGGGGGCAAGCGUUAUCCGGAUUUCCUGGGGGUAAAGGGAGCGUAGACGGCAGGGCAAGUCUGAAGUGAAGGGGAAGGGCUCAACCUUUAGAGUGCUUUGGAAACUGUGCGGCUGGAGUGUCGGAGAGGCAGGUGGAAUUCCUAGUGUAGCGGUGGAAUGCGUAGAUAUUAGGAGGAACACCAGUGGCGAAGGCGGCUUGCUGGACGAUGACUGACGUUGAGGCUCGAAAGCGUGGGGAGCAAACAGGAUUAGAUACCCGAGUAGUC